CGACCGGGUCGGGCGAUCGCGUGAUAUGUUGCCGAAAGGUAUUAUCAUGAGGAAAGUCCGGGCUUCACAGGGCAGGAUAACGGAUAACGUCCGCCGAGGGUGACCUCCGGGAAAGUGCAACAGAAAUAUACCACCGCAUUUUAUGCGGAAAGGGUGGAAAGGCGAGGUAAGAGCUCACCCGAAUCUGUGGUAACACAGGUUCGCUGUAAACCCUAUCCGAAGCAACACCGCAUAUGGAAUCCGGCUUAUCACCGGCUGUCUGCCCGGCAGAUUCCAUGGGUGGCACGCACAUUGCUGCGGAGCGUGUCGGAGACGAUGCGCAAAGAUAGAUGAUCGCCGAUUACAGAACCCGGCUUACAGACCCGAUCGCAGC
RNAcentral lists this RNase P RNA (373 nucleotides) under Oscillospiraceae bacterium. RNAcentral's name for it is "RNase P RNA component class A". It matches the Rfam family "Bacterial RNase P class A". From Rfam's summary of the family: Ribonuclease P (RNase P) is a ubiquitous endoribonuclease, found in archaea, bacteria and eukarya as well as chloroplasts and mitochondria. Its best characterised activity is the generation of mature 5'-ends of tRNAs by cleaving the 5'-leader elements of precursor-tRNAs. The record is from RNAcentral. Lineage: Bacteria; Bacillati; Bacillota; Clostridia; Eubacteriales; Oscillospiraceae.